UAGCAAUACGUGGCACACGGCUCAGUAACACGUAGUCAACAUAACCAAUGGACGUGGAUAAACUCGGGAAACUGAGGCUAAACCGCGAUAGACCAAGAUACCUGGAAUGGUUUUUGAUCAAAAUCUAUAUGGCCUUUGGAUUGGACUGCGACCGAUCAGGCUGUUGGUGAGGUAAUGGCCCACCAAACCUGUAACCGGUACGGGCUCUGAGAGGAGGAGCCCGGAGAUGGGUACUGAGACAAGGACCCAGGCCCUAUGGGGCGCAGCAGGCGCGAAACCUCUGCAAUAGGCGAAAGCCUGACAGGGUUAUUCUGAGUGACUUUCGCUAAGAAAGUCUUUUGACAUCUCUAAAAAUGGUGUAGAAUAAGGGGUGGGCAAGUCUGGUGUCAGCCGCCGCGGUAAUACCAGCACCCCGAGUGGUCGGGACGAUUAUUGGGCCUAAAGCAUCCGUAGCCGGUUUUACAAGUCCUCCGUUAAAUCCAACUGCUUAACAGAUGGGCCGCGGAGGAUACUAUAAGACUAGGAGGCAGGAGAGGCAAGCGGUACUCAGUGGGUAGGGGUAAAAUCCGUUGAUCCAUUGAAGACCACCAGUGGCGAAGGCGGCUUGCCAGAAUGCGCUCGACGGUGAGGGAUGAAAGCUGGGGGAGCAAACCGGAUUAGAUACCCGGGUAGUCCCAGCUGUAAAC
RNAcentral lists this ribosomal RNA (686 nucleotides) under uncultured Nitrososphaerota archaeon. RNAcentral's name for it is "bacterial SSU rRNA". It matches the Rfam family "Archaeal small subunit ribosomal RNA", at positions 69 to 758 of the family's 1478-position model. Lineage: Archaea; Thermoproteati; Nitrososphaerota. The record is from RNAcentral.